GACACGACUCUCGACAAUGGAUAUCUUGGCUCUUGCAUCGAUGAAGAGCGCAGCGAAAUGCGAUACGUGGUGCGAAUUGCAGAAUCCCGCGAACCAUCGAGUCUUUGAACGCAAGUUGCGCCCGAGGCAUCUGGCCAAGGGCACGUCCGCCUGGGCGUCAAGC
RNAcentral lists this ribosomal RNA (163 nucleotides) under Rhynchostele rossii. RNAcentral describes it as "5.8S ribosomal RNA". It matches the Rfam family "5.8S ribosomal RNA". From Rfam's summary of the family: 5.8S ribosomal RNA (5.8S rRNA) is a component of the large subunit of the eukaryotic ribosome. Lineage: Eukaryota; Viridiplantae; Streptophyta; Magnoliopsida; Asparagales; Orchidaceae. The record is from RNAcentral.